GUCCCACCUCCCUGCUGGCUGUUGGCCCUUCCCAGCAUGGCGGUUGCUUCCCCUUCAGGGCCAGCAGGACAGGUCUGAAUUUCUCCCUUUCUGGCGUUGAAACACCCUCUGGAGGGCUUCGUGAUCGGGCCAUGCCCGCCUAGGAUGCUCUCCCUUCUGAUGAGCUCAAGUCACUGGUUAGGGUCCUUAAUCACAUCGACAACACCCACCCCACCUGGUCUGGAGUGGGACUGACUGGCUCCAGACAGACCAUGUUCUACACAGAGGUGACAGAUGCCCAGCAUAGCGGUCCAGGUGGGGGCCUGGUGGAGGAGGGUGAGCUCAUUGAGGUGGUGCACCUGCCCCUGGAAGGCGCCCAGGCCUUUGCAGACGACCCGGACAUCCCCAAGACCCUUGGCGUCAUCUUUGGUGUCUCGUGGUUCCUCAGCCAGGUGGCCCCCAACCUGGAUCUCCAGUGAGACUCCAGGGUUCUAGACAGAGGCCAGUCUUGGCCACUCACCCCACACCCCGCGGACCCCAAUAAAGGCUUGCAUAGCUCCAG
This 541-nucleotide small RNA is filed under the name Pan troglodytes (chimpanzee). RNAcentral's name for it is "processed transcript". Lineage: Eukaryota; Metazoa; Chordata; Mammalia; Primates; Hominidae. The record is from RNAcentral.